Long non-coding RNA from Mytilus californianus (California mussel), 2535 nucleotides. RefSeq lists it as uncharacterized. The record is from RefSeq and is a predicted model, not a curated record. NCBI's taxonomy places the organism in Eukaryota, Metazoa, Mollusca, Bivalvia, Mytilida, Mytilidae. The transcript has 3 exons.
UUUCUAAGUGAAAACCUGUCAGCACUUCAUCUGCGUCGACUGUCAAUCCUUUACAAUGUAGAUGAGAUUCGCGAAUUGGUAACACAUCUUGAACUACCAUACGCCGAAUGGAAUGACCUCUUCAUCGUAGAACCUGAACCACAACUACUGAAAUUCAAAGCAUUAUGUCUCUGUCACGAGCAAGCAACACUGACUUUCAGAAAAAUUAAAAAAGCCGUAGAGGAAGGAAAGAUACAAAAUCCGCAUACCUUAUGCAAGGUUAUGAGAGGCGCAUUUGUGGACUUUGAUACUGAUCCAGAGAAAUGGGAUCUGGUUCCUUCGGAUGAAGACAUUGAUAGAAUGGCACCUUUGAUUGGAAACAAAUCCUUAUUUUUUCUGGUUGAACUUGGAAUGGACCUCGAGACAUGGGAAACCAUCAAUCACAGGCAAACGAAACGAGAUUUAGUGAAACUAAACAAGGGUAUUAUAGAUGAAUGGAUGCUUAUUUGUAAAGCAAAGAAUGUUAGACCCACUAUGCGGAAGAUUGCUCAAGCGUACAAAAGUAUUGGAAAAGACAUUCGAGUUCUUGAAAAUACUCUGUUCAACUGACCAGACACACUCUUCUUGCUCUCUGGUGUACCUGAUGUUGUUUAAUGUAUAUAUGUUUAACAGUAAUAUUGAGUUCACAAAGACGUUAAUUGUUUUUGGAAAGAUCUGUAAGAAAUCUGAAAUUAAGAAAGAUAAUAAAAUUAAUUAAUAAAUGGAGUAAAAUGCCAAACAGUUUGAAAAAGAUUGGCUAUGAAGAUCUAGCCCACAUUGACUAGUAAUGUCAACAACAUUGCUGCAUAUUGAUAGAAGAAACCUUAAUAAGUUCCUUUGACUUGUUCUAUGGUUUUACUCAACUGAUAUUUUGCAUAUCAUACAAAUGAAAUACUAUACUUCUUAAAUAAACAAAACUUUUCCCCUAAAUGAACCUUAUCUUUUACGCUAAAACCCAAAAGUUUGAAAAGUAAAAAACUCGUUAAAUGUUUAAUCCAAAAGACCUCAAUAUAUAGUCAAAAUAGAUAGGUAACAUGUAAACAUGUAAACAUUAAAAACAUGGAAUACUAUUCAAUAUGUGUAAGAUCUUAAUAGCCACUUCUUUUGCAUUUAACUCCAUUUAUUAAUUCAUGUAUUAUGGUCCGCUGUUCAGUACCCGAGAAAUGUAGUGCAACAAUUUGUUGACACCAGACACCGGUCGUUUUUGUUUUCAUUGGUGUCGCUUCACAAAUGAUAUCAAUAAAUUCUUUAGAACCUGUAAAACAUCGGACACAGUAUUGGCAAUGUACUGUUGGGCUGUAACUUGCUCCUGUCGGAUACCAAACAUUUAGUUUGAUGUAGAUAUAAAACUUCUUGUCAUGAUUAAAUGAAAACGACAAAGACUAUUUAUGUACUGUAUAGUAGGGCUACAUGAGUUGACAAUAGAUACGAUAAUUGGUAUGAUUAUAUCCUUUAUAGUAUCCUUGGGACAUCACACAAAACUGAGUAAAAUCAAAAUUUCUAAGUAUUGAAAACAUGAUGCAGUUUUUUUGUUUUGUGUUUGAUUAUUUUUCAUUUACUACAUAAUACAUGUAAUAUGACUUUUUUUUAUUACCUAUAUUGAUCUUGUAUAUACGUAUGUUUUUAUUGCAAAGUUUUUAUUUCAGAUAUAUAUUUAUAUUUUAUUGAUAUGAUUUUUUUCAUGGUCGGACAUACCGUAAAUUCUACGUAUUCGACAUUCUAGAGCAAUUUUCUGAAAAGGAUUCAAGAUGAAAUGAACUAGACGGUGAUAUCAACUCACCUCGAUUUCGCUCGAGAUAAAAUAAUAUAAUAUAAAUACUCAACCCCUGGUUAAAGAAAACAAAUCUACGGCUGCCAUGAAUUAUUUCUUUAUUCAUCUAUGAUAACAGAGUCAUAAGUAUAUGCUGUAUUUCGACUUUGAAUUGUUAUUUUAUAGAUACGAGAACCAGUCGUUUGAAUAAGCUUUUGAAAUUCACCAGUAAUGAGGUAAAAUUAAAGAAUUUUGCAAAUGACCUAUCGUCAUCCAAUCCUCUUUAUGAAUGGCAAACAUGCACUUGAAAUAACAAAUGGCUGUGAGUUGCUUAUAAUGUUUUGCUUAUCAUCUGGUAUCAUCUCAAUGAUUAAAUGGAAUACGUAUUUUGAUUGCGUUAGGUAAUUGCGUUAGCUAUCAUCAGAACAAAAAUCAAGGUGUAUUGAUAAUUUGUGCACAUUAAACACAGUAGAAACGUUGCGCUUUUGCAAGUAGCAACAUACUAAUUGUCAGGUUUCAAACCCAUUUGUUAAAUAUGUAGGUAGUUUAUGGACAAACGUGUCGUGGUUAAGCUUAGAAAAAUAUAUCUUCAGAUUGAAAUAUAUGUGUACACAUGAUUUAUGAUUAGAAGGGAGGCGAAAGAUACCAAAGGGACAUACAAACUUAUAAGUCGAAUAUCAACUGACAACACCAUGGCUAAAAAGGAAAAAGACAAACAAACACACAACAUUACAAAAAACACAACAUAAAACUGAUCCUGCUCCACA